This 92-nucleotide microRNA precursor is filed under the name Ovis aries (sheep). RNAcentral's name for it is "miRNA (ENSOARG00000021613.1)". Lineage: Eukaryota; Metazoa; Chordata; Mammalia; Artiodactyla; Bovidae. The record is from RNAcentral.
UAUAUUGGGUUAGCCAAAAAGUUCAUUCAGGAUUUUCCUUAAGAUGGAAUGGUAUGGAAAAACCUGAACGAACUUUUUGGCCAACCCAAUAU